UCGGGGCAGGGUGAGUCGACCCCUAAGGCGAGGCCGAAAGGCGUAGUCGAUGGGAAACAGGUUAAUAUUCCUGUACUUGGUGUUACUGCGAAGGGGGGACGGAGAAGGCUAUGUUAGCCGGGCGACGGUUGUCCCGGUUUAAGCAUGUAGGCUGGUUGUCCAGGCAAAUCCGGAUAAUCAAGGCUGAGGUGUGAUGACGAGGCACUACGGUGCUGAAGUAACAAAUGCCCUGCUUCCAGGAAAAGCCUCUAAGCAUCAGGUAACAUCAAAUCGUACCCCAAACCGACACAGGUGGUCAGGUAGAGAAUACCA
RNAcentral lists this ribosomal RNA (312 nucleotides) under Klebsiella quasipneumoniae subsp. similipneumoniae. RNAcentral's name for it is "partial 23S ribosomal RNA". It matches the Rfam family "Bacterial large subunit ribosomal RNA", at positions 1369 to 1683 of the family's 2925-position model. The record is from RNAcentral. Lineage: Bacteria; Pseudomonadati; Pseudomonadota; Gammaproteobacteria; Enterobacterales; Enterobacteriaceae.